GAUGAACGCUGGCGGCGUGCCUAAUACAUGCAAGUCGAGCGAACGGACGAGAAGCUUGCUUCUCUGAUGUUAGCGGCGGACGGGUGAGUAACACGUUGAUAACCUACCUAUAAGACUGGGAUAACUUCGGGAAACCGGAGCUAAUACCGGAUAAUAUUUUGAACCGCAUGGUUCAAAAGUGAAAGACGGUCUUGCUGUCACUUAUAGAUGGAUCCGCGCUGCAUUAGCUAGUUGGUAAGGUAACGGCUUACCAAGGCAACGAUGCAUAGCCGACCUGAGAGGGUGAUCGGCCACACUGGAACUGAGACACGGUCCAGACUCCUACGGGAGGCAGCAGUAGGGAAUCUUCCGCAAUGGGCGAAAGCCUGACGGAGCAACGCCGCGUGAGGGAUGAAGGUCUUCGGAUCGUAAAACUCUGUUAUUAGGGAAGAACAUAUGUGUAAGUAACUGUGCACAUCUUGACGGUACCUAAUCAGAAAGCCACGGCUAACUACGUG
RNAcentral lists this ribosomal RNA (497 nucleotides) under uncultured bacterium. RNAcentral's name for it is "partial 16S ribosomal RNA". It matches the Rfam family "Bacterial small subunit ribosomal RNA", at positions 28 to 507 of the family's 1533-position model. The record is from RNAcentral.